UCUGCCUCAAAUUCUGCUAAGAUUCAAUGCACCUUAAUGUCCUUACACAAACACCAAUGCUGUUGGAAAACUUUAUACAAAAGCAAGAGCAAAUUCUUUCUACAUCCAAACAUUUGAGUAUUUCACAUUGAGUUUAAAACUUCCAUUUAUCUUCAUAUACAUUGUAGGACACUUUGCAAUACAAAAUUUUAGACUGAAGUCAAUAAUUAAAGAAAAAUGCUAUAAAGAAUAUUGAUUCAAAUAGAAUUGCAUCACAGAAAGUGUUAAUAAAUUAGAUAAAAUAUUACUUGUAAAUGUAUGGAGAUUGAUAACUUUAGUGUAAAUUUUCCUGUAGUUAGAAAACACAUACUUAUAUUUAAAGGUUAGAGGGCCACAAAAUCUUCAAUAUUCAAAUUGUUCAAAAAUCAUC
This 409-nucleotide long non-coding RNA is filed under the name Bos taurus (domestic cattle). RNAcentral's name for it is "long non-coding RNA NONBTAT012556". The record is from RNAcentral. Lineage: Eukaryota; Metazoa; Chordata; Mammalia; Artiodactyla; Bovidae.